UGGGGGAGAUAUCGCCCAAGGACUGCUAUUCCUCCCUGUCUGCCGGGCACUCCCAACCCCUGAGGGACCUGGAUGGGCUGUGGCACAGAUCGUCCCCCACAAUCUCCCAGCAGCCCACCUUGCCGGACCUCCUCUCCAAGACCUCAGAGAAGCUCUCUCUCUUGGCCCAACUGGAGAGGGCCCAGAGCCGGAUCCAAGCCCUGGAGAGCCAGCUGGAGGAUUCUGCCCGGCAAUGGGGGAGGGAGAAGCAGGACACAGCCACCCGACUGCUGGAACAAGCCCAUGGCUUCAGCCCCUGAUCCUCAGCUCCACGCGCUCACUGGACGGCGGCUCUGCUCUCCGGCCUCCCAGAAGUAAGGAGCCUAAAGGGCCUCAGCCUUUUGGGCUUCUCCUCCUAAGAAGAGGAGCAGGGUCGUUCAGGGCCCUGGGAUGGAGGGGUGGGGCACUGAACCAGGCAUCAGGAGAACCUGCUUCUGAUCUGGGCCCUGCCACUACCCCUGCUCUGUGUCCUUGGCCCUUUGGGGGCUUGCUUCUGGUUUCCCAUCUGUAAUAUGGGGAUGAAAAUCCUUGCCCUUCCCUGCAUUUCCCUAUCUCUCAGGGGUGCAGUGAGCAAACAAAGAUCAGCUGAUUUUGAAAGCCCUGUUUUUAAGGCAUCGGUGAUAGUAAUCCCUGCCUUAAGUACUUGGGAAAGCCCAGAGGAAGUAGGGUUAUGACACUGGUUAUUGAACCUGUGUGAAUGUCUCUGUCCUCCUCACUGCUCUCGUCACUGGGCAAAACCCAGCACUGCCUGGCUCUUCCCUCUUCCCAGAUUCCCACCAAGCCACUUCCUAGGGGGGAAGUGGUAUCUACUGAGCCCUGGGUGUGGAUGAGUGACUGACUGACUGCCUGACCGGCUGGCUGACACCGACCCCGGCUCACCCCCAUCUGGCCAUGGAAAGAGGACUCCCCCUCCCCAACCCCACCUCGAGCCAGGAGGCACUGGGGGCAAUUGAGAAGCCCUCAAAGGUGGCAGACCAAGAGAUGGAGGAGUUUUGGCAAUAUGUUUCCUCCCUUCCUCCAUUCCUGCCCAAAGUCACCCCUCUGCCUCUCCCCUCCCCCCCACCAACC
Ornithorhynchus anatinus (platypus) is the source of this 1107-nucleotide long non-coding RNA. RefSeq lists it as uncharacterized. Lineage: Eukaryota; Metazoa; Chordata; Mammalia; Monotremata; Ornithorhynchidae. The record is from RefSeq and is a predicted model, not a curated record. The transcript has 3 exons.